CCUACGGGUGGCAGCAGUGAGGAAUAUUGGUCAAUGGGCGGAAGCCUGAACCAGCCAAGUAGCGUGAAGGAUGACGGCUCUAUGAGUUGUAAACUGCUUUUAUAAAGGGAUAAAGCUGGGUACGUGUAUUUUGCUGAAAGUACUGUACGAAUAAGGAUCGGCUAACUCCGUGCCAGCAGCCGCGGUAAUACGGAGGGGCCAAGCGUUAUCCGGAAUGAUUGGGGUUAAAGGGUGCGUAGGUGGAUUAGUAAGUUAGCGGUGAAAUGCCCGGGCGUAACUCCGGAGCUGCCUCUAAGACUGUUGGACUAGAGUGUAGGAGCGGUAAGUGGAAUUUCUGGUGUAGCGGUGAAAUGCGUAGAUAUUAGACAGAACACCAGUGGCGAAGGCGGCUUAC
Molecule: ribosomal RNA, 394 nt
Filed under: uncultured bacterium
Lineage: Bacteria
Description: partial 16S ribosomal RNA
Rfam family: Bacterial small subunit ribosomal RNA
Source: RNAcentral